UGGUGGGUAGUUUGACUGGGGCGGUCUCCUCCUAAAGAGUAACGGAGGAGCACGAAGGUUGGCUAAUCCUGGUCGGACAUCAGGAGGUUAGUGCAAUGGCAUAAGCCAGCUUGACUGCGAGCGUGACGGCGCGAGCAGGUGCGAAAGCAGGUCAUAGUGAUCCGGUGGUUCUGAAUGGAAGGGCCAUCGCUCAACGGAUAAAAGGUACUCCGGGGAUAACAGGCUGAUACCGCCCAAGAGUUCAUAUCGACGGCGGUGUUUGGCACCUCGAUGUCGGCUCAUCACAUCCUGGGGCUGAAGUAGGUCCCAAGGGUAUGGCUGUUCGCCAUUUAAAGUGGUACGCGAGCUGGGUUUAGAACGUCGUGAGACAGUUCGGUCCCUAUCUGCCGUGGGCGCUGGAGAACUGAGGGGGGCUGCUCCUAGUACGAGAGGACCGGAGUGGACGCAUCACUGGUGUUCGGGUUGUCAUGCCAAUGGCACUGCCCGGUAGCUAAAUGCGGAAGAGAUAAGUGCUGAAAGCAUCUAAGCACGAAACUUGCCCCGAGAUGAGUUCUCCCUGACUCCUUGAGAGUCCUGAAGGAACGUUGAAGACGACGACGUUGAUAGGCCGGGUGUGUAAGC
RNAcentral lists this ribosomal RNA (621 nucleotides) under Escherichia coli. RNAcentral describes it as "partial 23S ribosomal RNA". It matches the Rfam family "Bacterial large subunit ribosomal RNA", at positions 2259 to 2874 of the family's 2925-position model. RNAcentral also lists the same sequence under 1 other name. The record is from RNAcentral. Lineage: Bacteria; Pseudomonadati; Pseudomonadota; Gammaproteobacteria; Enterobacterales; Enterobacteriaceae.